UACUUGGGUGUGUGUGUGUGUGUGUGUGUGUGUGCGCGCACACACACACACACACACAUACACACAGUG
Podarcis lilfordi (Lilford's wall lizard) is the source of this 69-nucleotide non-coding RNA. Lineage: Eukaryota; Metazoa; Chordata; Lepidosauria; Squamata; Lacertidae. The record is from the annotation of a GenBank genome assembly.